UCUCUCCAAGGCUCCGCCUCUCUUUCUCCCUCGAAUCUCCUCCGGCGGACGACGGCAACCAUCGCCGAUCACGCCGCCGCCCCUUGACUCUCCUCUCCCUCAACUCUCUCAACUGCCGGCACAAGGCGCAGCGAGGCGCAACUGCCGCGGAGCGCCGCCGUCUCCGGCGUCCUCGCAGCAGAUCCGCCGCCUUCUUCCCCGGUGAUAGCAGCCGCCGCCUGGCCUCCCUCGUUCUCAGUCAGACGGUAGCAUCAAGGCCACCGCCGACCGAAGACCCUCCCCUUUUUUUUUCGCUUGACUCCGGC
Molecule: long non-coding RNA, 305 nt
Filed under: Salvia miltiorrhiza (redroot sage)
Lineage: Eukaryota; Viridiplantae; Streptophyta; Magnoliopsida; Lamiales; Lamiaceae
Description: long non-coding RNA (SMIL_LNC008782)
Source: RNAcentral